AACGAACGCUGGCGGCGUGGAUAAGACAUGCAAGUCGAACGCUAAUUCUGGUGUAGCAAUACAGCAGGGUUGGAGUGGCGCAAGGGUGCGUAACACGUGGGUAAUUUGCCAUGAAGUUGGGGAUAACUCGCUGAAAGGCGAGCUAAUACCGAAUACGGUUAUGAGGAGGCAUUUUCUGAUAACCAAAGCUGGGGAUUCGCAAGGACCUGGCGCUUUAUGAUAAGCCCGCGGCCUAUCACCUAGUUGGUGAGGUAACGGCUCACCAAGGCUAAGACGGGUAGCUGGUCUGAGAGGACGACCAGCCACACUGGAACUGAGACACGGUCCAGACACCUACGGGUGGCAGCAGUCGAGAAUUUUUCUCAAUGGGCGCAAGCCUGAAGGAGCGACGCCGCGU
RNAcentral lists this ribosomal RNA (397 nucleotides) under uncultured bacterium. RNAcentral's name for it is "bacterial SSU rRNA". It matches the Rfam family "Bacterial small subunit ribosomal RNA", at positions 29 to 402 of the family's 1533-position model. The record is from RNAcentral.